This 1013-nucleotide long non-coding RNA is filed under the name Junco hyemalis (dark-eyed junco). Its description in RNAcentral is "lncRNA (ENSJHYG00000000290.1)". The record is from RNAcentral. Lineage: Eukaryota; Metazoa; Chordata; Aves; Passeriformes; Passerellidae.
AUGUACGUACUGUGUCUGUUCUUCCAACAGCUCUGCUUUGCUGUGCCCCAUGUCAAGAAUGGAGGAGGUGCUGGGAGCAGCAGUGUGUCUCCCUUAGCACAGUCUGUGAUGGGAUGGAUGCAAGACACAGCUGGAGGAGGAAGGAAAAGCUUUUCCAACCCCCAUCCAAGCUUUGUGUGUUUGCACAGAGCUGGAUGUUGGAAUCAGAGAGCAGCCACCACAAGGAAAGAAAGGAUGUGGAGUUUGUGGCUUAGCCACGGAUGUCAGGCCCCUCACAACAUCCAUCUGUGCUGCAGAGAAAGAACCCCAGGGCUGGGGAGUUCUGAAACACCAGCUGCCACCACAGGAAGGAAGGGAUCCCGUGACUGACCCCGUGACCCCUCUUGCCUCCUCAGCUCUUGAGAGGCAUCUCUUGGUGAGUGGAGAAAGGUUACUCAGACACCUUUUCCUACCUCUUUUUCUUUUCCCCCUUUCACUGUGCAUUUCAUUCUCUCUUGAGCACCUUCUGCAAUGCUUCAGUUUCAUUUGAGCUCCACGGUGGUACUGACCCAGUUGUGUCUUGGCUAUGUGAGGGGACAGAUUCCAUGCAUGUCAAGGUUCUUGCCUCAUUCAGGGGGAAGAAGGGGCAUUUAUUCCAGAGGCUCCAAGCCUCUGACCAGCCAGUUUGAUAGCACCAAGUCCCCAAAUCCUGUGUGCCCAAAUCCCUACCCUGCCCUGGUGGUGCAGUGUGUGGUGUUAGAGCACAGCAGCCUGCUCAAGGCACGGGGUGCAAUGAGAUGUUCUUCAAGGUCCCCUUCCAACCUAAACCAUUCUAGGGAUCUCUUGGAAUUCUCAGUUUAGUAAGAGUGAAAAAUGCAAAAUAGGUUAAAUUGAGAAGGGAUGUGCAGGAUCAAGCUUUUAGUGCUGGCUUGACUUUGACAGGGGAAAAGGUCACCUCCCUUUGGGCAGCCUGGUCUGCUUCCCCCUCUCCACAGCUGUAGGACAGAGGGCCUGGAUGAGUCCCCUGGGGAUUU